UAGGCGUAAAUGAUGCGAGUUAAGUGUGGGGGCAUCUACGAGAUGGCCCUGUGCUGUAGGGUAGCCGUUAAACUCGCUGCCUGGGGAGUACGGUCGCAAGGCUGAAACUUAAAGGAAUUGGCGGGGGAGCACCACAAGAGGUGGAGCUUGCGGUUUAAUUGGAUUCAACGCCGGAAAUCUUACCGGGACCGACAGCAACAUGAAGGCCAGGCUGAAGACUUUGCCGGAUUAGCUGAGAGGAGGUGCAUGGCGUAGUCGUGU
This 261-nucleotide ribosomal RNA is filed under the name uncultured archaeon. RNAcentral describes it as "partial 16S ribosomal RNA". It matches the Rfam family "Archaeal small subunit ribosomal RNA", at positions 748 to 1009 of the family's 1478-position model. The record is from RNAcentral.